RNAcentral lists this ribosomal RNA (467 nucleotides) under uncultured bacterium. RNAcentral's name for it is "partial 16S ribosomal RNA". It matches the Rfam family "Bacterial small subunit ribosomal RNA", at positions 28 to 507 of the family's 1533-position model. The record is from RNAcentral.
GAUGAACGCUGGCGGCGUGCUUAACACAUGCAAGUCGAACGGAAAGGCCGAAGCUUGCUUCGGUACUCGAGUGGCGAACGGGUGAGUAACACGUGGGUGAUCUGCCCUGUACUUCGGGAUAAGCUCGGGAAACUGGGUCUAAUACCGGAUAUGACAAUCUCUUGGAUGGGGCUGUGGAAAGCGUUUGCGGUAUGGGAUGGGCUCGCGGCCUAUCUGCUUGUUGGGGGGGUAAUGGCCUACCAAAGGGUCUACGGGGAACCGGGCUUGGAGGGUGUACGGCCACAGUGGGGCUGGGAAAAGGCCCAGACCUCUACGGGGAGCAGGAGGGGGGAAUAUUGGAAAAAUGGCGCGAGCCCGAUGCAGCGACGCCGCGUGGGGGGUGACGGGCUUCGGGUUGGAAACUCCUUUCGCCCCCGAAGGAGCUUUUUGUGACGGUAGGUGGAAAAGAAGCACCGGCUAACUACGUG